This 539-nucleotide ribosomal RNA is filed under the name uncultured marine bacterium. RNAcentral's name for it is "bacterial SSU rRNA". It matches the Rfam family "Bacterial small subunit ribosomal RNA", at positions 97 to 669 of the family's 1533-position model. The record is from RNAcentral.
GGCAGACGGGUGAGUAACAUGUAGGCUAUCUACCCUUUGGCCAGGAAUAACACGAGGAAACUUGUGCUAAUACCUGAUAAGUCUUUACGGAGAAAGCUUUAUGCACCAUUGGAUGAGCCUGCACUUGAUUAGUUAGUUGGUGGGGUAAAGGCCUACCAAGACUUUGAUCAAUAGCUGAUUUGAGAGGAUGAUCAGCCACAUUGGGACUGAGACACGGCCCAAACUCCUACGGGAGGCAGCAGUGGGGAAUCUUGCACAAUGGAGGAAACUCUGAUGCAGCGAUGCCGCGUGAGUGAAGAAGGCCUUUGGGUUGUAAAGCUCUUUCGUCGGGGAAGAAAAUGACUGUACCCGAAUAAGAAGGUCCGGCUAACUUCGUGCCAGCAGCCGCGGUAAUACUAAGGGACCUAGCGUAGUUCGGAAUUACUGGGCUUAAAGAGUUCGUAGGUGGUUGAAAAAGUUGGUGGUGAAAUCCCGGAGCUUAACUCUGGAACUGCCAUCAAAACUUUUCAGCUAUAGUUUGAUAGAGGAAAGCAGAAUUU